GAUGUUCCUAAGGAAUAUUGCAGCGCCCGUUGAGUACACUAUCGGACUGUGGAAAAUGUGUGCUUUCUGUGACUGUAAGGUGCAGAUGUACACGUCCGUGGGAAAGUAGGUUUCCAGUUUCCUGAUACUGUGCGUUGCACUUGCGAGCGGCUGUGGCCUGGGGUAAGCUUUAGCUUUCCUGCGUGUUUCUAGCAUCAUGGUCUUGUUGCUGUGCCUUACCCGUGGACCAUGAUGGAGCAAAGGAGAGCCUUAACUAUUCCAUUUACAGUGGACAAGGAUAAACUGGUUUCCUGGACUGCGUUUGCAGAUUGCAAAUUCAGACAUCGCAAGUCGCCACAUAAAAACGGAUCCACAAAGUUUGAUCACAGCAAUGCAGCUAUGAUGGCACUGGAAAUGGAAA
This is a long non-coding RNA of Oreochromis aureus, 400 nucleotides long. The record is from Ensembl. Lineage: Eukaryota; Metazoa; Chordata; Actinopteri; Cichliformes; Cichlidae.